CUGGGUGUGUGUGUGGGAUACGGCUAUGUCUGUUACCAGAAGAAGGGGGAAGAGGAAGAAAAGAAAAAGAGGAGAGGAGGAGAGAAAGAACUUGGCCUUGACAAGUCCUCUAAAUUCAGGAAGAACCACCCCCAGCCCAGCCAGGGAAAGUAGGAGAAAGGUCACUGGGGGAGGGGCAUGCAGGCACUUUCUGCCAGCCAGCUCCGUCUGCACUGCCAGGAGUGGGGGCAGACCCAGAAAGAUGGGAAGUAUACUUUCCAAUCCCUCGGGCAGCUAGCUCCCUUUCCCCUACUUUCCUCUCAUCCAAUCGGGACAGGCACACUGCCAAACCACCCAUGUGGUUCCCAUUAGGGCCAGCUGUUUGUCUCUCCAGCUCUGAACUUUCCUCUACUUGGCUAGGCUGAGUCUGGGAGUUCCAAAGCCACAAAACCACCCCCUCAGCUCUUCUCUUCCACCACAUCACCCAUCCAGAACCUAUGCCUGCCGACCCUGGAAAAGCUCAUCCAUGACCCUCGCCAUGCCUAGAGAUUGCAACCCUAGGCUUCCUCCUGUUGCCUGUCCUCCACCACCAGGGGUCUUGGUGUCCAGGAAUUUACCUGCGUUAAAGGAGGAUCAGUGUCUGAGGACAGACCUGUCAUCCCAGCUCUUGGGGCAUGGAGCAGAAGAGUGUGGAAUUCAUCUUGAGCUACACAAUUCCCCUGAAGCCUGGCACAGAAAACCUGUCUGACAAGAAGACCCUUAGGGCAAAUUGACUGAAAAACCCCCAAGUUGAGUCAGCAGGGCUGGGAGCCAGCAGCAAACCUCUGGAAUCUGAAACUGCAUGCCUCAAGGCUGACAUGCAGGCCACUGCUUGUACACUUGACCAGCUGGGCCUUUUGCCAGGCUGAUCCCAGCAGCAGUGACAGGCAGACAGGAAGAGUAGGCAGAAAACCCUCAACAAGGGAUGAAUUCAUACAUCCACCAUCUGUUCUCUCCAAACAUCAGCCUUUGGGCACAGCUCAUAGCCAUUCCAUGCUAGUCCAUGUGCCAUCUCCUUGUCCAAGUCUUCUUGCCUCCAGAGAAAAACCACCAAGAUGGGUGUGGUGGUGCAUGCCUGUCAUCUUAGCACUUAGAGGAUAGUAGCAAGAAGGUCCACCUGUAAGAGAAACAAAAUAGGGCUGGUGAGAUGGCUCAGCAGGCAAGAGCA
This is a long non-coding RNA of Mus musculus (house mouse), 1186 nucleotides long. RefSeq annotates it as predicted gene, 53997. The transcript is spliced from 3 exons. The record is from RefSeq and is a predicted model, not a curated record. NCBI's taxonomy places the organism in Eukaryota, Metazoa, Chordata, Mammalia, Rodentia, Muridae.